RNAcentral lists this ribosomal RNA (301 nucleotides) under uncultured bacterium. RNAcentral describes it as "partial 16S ribosomal RNA". It matches the Rfam family "Bacterial small subunit ribosomal RNA", at positions 509 to 807 of the family's 1533-position model. The record is from RNAcentral.
CAGCAGCCGCGGGAAUACGAAGGGUGCAAGCGUUACUCGGAAUUACUGGGCGUAAAGCGUGCGUAGGUGGUGGUUUAAGUCCGUUGUGAGAGCCCUGGGCUCAACCUGGGAAUUGCAGUGGAUACUGGAUCACUAGAGUGUGGUAGAGGAUAGUGGAAUUUCCGGUGUAGCAGUGAAAUGCGUAGAGAUCGGAAGGAACAUCUGUGGCGAAGGCGACUAUCUGGGCCAACACUGACACUGAGGCACGAAAGCGUGGGGAGCAAACAGGAUUAGAUACCCCUGUAGUCCCUGUCUCUUAUAC